This 530-nucleotide ribosomal RNA is filed under the name Candida albicans. RNAcentral's name for it is "partial large subunit ribosomal RNA". It matches the Rfam family "Eukaryotic large subunit ribosomal RNA", at positions 51 to 557 of the family's 3401-position model. Lineage: Eukaryota; Fungi; Ascomycota; Pichiomycetes; Serinales; Debaryomycetaceae. The record is from RNAcentral.
AGGAGGAAAAGAAACCAACAGGGAUUGCCUCAGUAGCGGCGAGUGAAGCGGCAAAAGCUCAAAUUUGAAAUCUGGCGUCUUUGGCGUCCGAGUUGUAAUUUGAAGAAGGUAUCUUUGGGCCCGGCUCUUGUCUAUGUUCCUUGGAACAGGACGUCACAGAGGGUGAGAAUCCCGUGCGAUGAGAUGACCCGGGUCUGUGUAAAGUUCCUUCGACGAGUCGAGUUGUUUGGGAAUGCAGCUCUAAGUGGGUGGUAAAUUCCAUCUAAAGCUAAAUAUUGGCGAGAGACCGAUAGCGAACAAGUACAGUGAUGGAAAGAUGAAAAGAACUUUGAAAAGAGAGUGAAAAAGUACGUGAAAUUGUUGAAAGGGAAGGGCUUGAGAUCAGACUUGGUAUUUUGCAUGUUGCUCUCUCGGGGGCGGCCGCUGCGGUUUACCGGGCCAGCAUCGGUUUGGAGCGGCAGGAUAAUGGCGGAGGAAUGUGGCACGGCUUCUGCUGUGUGUUAUAGCCUCUGACGAUACUGCCAGCCUAG